GAUGAACGCUAGCUACAGGCUUAACACAUGCAAGUCGAGGGGCAGCAUGGUCUUAGCUUGCUAAGGCCGAUGGCGACCGGCGCACGGGUGAGUAACACGUAUCCAACCUGCCGUCUACUCUUGGACAGCCUUCUGAAAGGAAGAUUAAUACAAGAUGGCAUCAUGAGUCCGCAUGUUCACAUGAUUAAAGGUAUUCCGGUAGACGAUGGGGAUGCGUUCCAUUAGAUAGUAGGCGGGGUAACGGCCCACCUAGUCUUCGAUGGAUAGGGGUUCUGAGAGGAAGGUCCCCCACAUUGGAACUGAGACACGGUCCAAACUCCUACGGGAGGCAGCAGUGAGGAAUAUUGGUCAAAUGGGCGAGAGCCUGAACCAGCCAAGUAGCGUGCAGGAUGACGGCCCUAAUGGGUUGUAAACUGCUUUUAUAAGGGAUAAAGUGGAGUCGUGACUCUUUUUGCAUGUACCUUAUGAAUAAGGACCGGCUAAUUCCGUGCCA
Molecule: ribosomal RNA, 493 nt
Filed under: uncultured bacterium
Lineage: Bacteria
Description: bacterial SSU rRNA
Rfam family: Bacterial small subunit ribosomal RNA
Source: RNAcentral